CUAAUGUCAUGUUAAUUAUUUCAUAUGUUAAUGUGUACAUGCUUCUGAAGUGUGUGCAAGGCAUUCUGCCUCUAGCUUUGUUCUUUGCAGUGUACUUGAAAUGUGCAUUUACCCCAAUAGAACUGCUCACCCGUCAUGUGGUCCAUAUCUGUGUAACGAAAGAUACAUAGAUGUGUAUGGCUACUGUAUAUUUGUAAGCAAGCGGAAUGUUCAUUACUAAUAUAAAUUAGGAAUUAUGGUGUGUUUAACAUCCCAAUAACUAUUAUUCAUGGCAGAGCGUUAAUUUUAAAUGAUUUUUCAUGUAUUAUAGUACUGCCAAAUCUGUCGAAAGGGAGAUAAUGAAGAACUGCUUCUUCUUUGUGAUGGCUGUGACAAAGGCUGUCAUACCUACUGCCAUAGACCCAAGAUUACAACAAUCCCAGAUGGAGACUGGUUUUGUCCAGCUUGCAUUGCUAAGGCAAGUGGUCAAACUCUAAAAAUCAAAAAACUUCAUGUCAAAGGAAAAAAGACUAAUGAGUCAAAGAAAGGCAAGAAGGUAACUUUAACAGGAGAUACUGAAGAUGAAGACUCUGCAUCUACAAGUAGUUCACUAAAAAGAGGAAACAAAGACCUCAAGAAAAGAAAAAUGGAGGAAAACACUUCUAUUAACUUGUCAAAACAAGAAAGUUUUACUUCAGUUAAGAAACCUAAAAGAGAUGACUCCAAGGACCUAGCUCUUUGCAGUAUGAUUCUGACUGAAAUGGAAACUCAUGAGGAUGCAUGGCCUUUUCUACUUCCUGUAAACUUGAAACUUGUUCCUGGUUAUAAGAAAGUUAUUAAGAAGCCUAUGGAUUUUUCCACAAUUAGAGAGAAACUAAGUAGUGGACAGUACACAGUAGGUGUAUAUAUUUAUGGACUACAUGAGAUACAGGCAUGCAAUGCAUAAUAAUCACAUCAUGGAAAAUUGGGUAUUCAUCACCUCAAGCAUUUAUCCUUUGUGUUACAGAUAAUCCACUUCUACUCUUUUACUUAUUUUAAAGUGUACAAUUAAACUAUGA
Molecule: long non-coding RNA, 1037 nt
Filed under: Homo sapiens (human)
Lineage: Eukaryota; Metazoa; Chordata; Mammalia; Primates; Hominidae
Description: non-protein coding lnc-WDSUB1-1:1
Source: RNAcentral